AGCAGCCGCGGUAAUUCCAGCUCCAAUAGUGUAUAUUAAAGUUGUUGCAGUUAAAAAGCUCGUAGUUGAAUUUCGGGGUUAGUAGAUUGGUCGUGCCACUGGUAUGCACUGGUCUUACUGAUUCCUCCUUCCUGAUGAACCGUAAUGCCAUUAAUUUGGUGUUGCGGGAGACUGGACUGUUACUUUGAAAAAUUGAGUGUUAAAGCAGGCUAACGCUUGAAUACAUUAGCAUGGAAUAAUGAAAUAGGACGUUCGAUCCUAUUUGUUGGUUUCUAGGAUUGACGUAAUGAUUAAUAGGAUAGUGGGGCAUUAGUAUUCAAUUGUCAGAGGU
Molecule: ribosomal RNA, 331 nt
Filed under: uncultured Glomus
Lineage: Eukaryota; Fungi; Glomeromycota; Glomeromycetes; Glomerales; Glomeraceae
Description: SSU rRNA
Rfam family: Eukaryotic small subunit ribosomal RNA
Source: RNAcentral